Molecule: ribosomal RNA, 253 nt
Filed under: uncultured bacterium
Lineage: Bacteria
Description: partial 16S ribosomal RNA
Rfam family: Bacterial small subunit ribosomal RNA
Source: RNAcentral
UACGGGGGGGGCAAGCGUUGUCCGGAUUUAUUGGGCGUAAAGAGCGUGUAGGCGGCCAGAUAGGUCGGUUGUGAAAACUGGAGGCUCAACCUCCAGACGUCGACCGAAACCAUCUGGCUAGAGUCCGGAAGAGGAGAGUGGAAUUCCUGGUGUAGCGGUGAAAUGCGCAGAUAUCAGGAAGAACACCCGUGGCGAAGGCGGCUCUCUGGGACGGUACUGACGCUGAGACGCGAAAGCGUGGGGAGCGAACAGG